ACAUAGGGUGCAAGCGUUGUCCGGAAUUAUUGGGCGUAAAGAGCUCGUAGGUCGUUUGACACGUCGGAUGUGAAAAUCUGAGGCUUAACCUCAGACCUGCAUUCGAUACGGUCAAACUAGAGUGUGGUAGGGGAGACUGGAAUUCCUGGUGUAGCGGUGGAAUGCGCAGAUAUCAGGAGGAACACCAAUGGCGAAGGCAGGUCUCUGGGCCAUUACUGACACUGAGGAGCGAAAGCGCGGGGAGCGAACAGGAUUAGAUACCCUGGUAGUCCGCGCCGUAAACGGUGGGCACUAGUUGUGGGAACCUUCCACGGAUUCCGCGACGCAGCUAACGCAUUAAGUGCCCCGCCUGGGGAGUACGAUCGCAAGAUUA
RNAcentral lists this ribosomal RNA (373 nucleotides) under uncultured bacterium. RNAcentral's name for it is "bacterial SSU rRNA". It matches the Rfam family "Bacterial small subunit ribosomal RNA", at positions 525 to 896 of the family's 1533-position model. The record is from RNAcentral.